GACGAACGCUGGCGGCGUGCUUAACACAUGCAAGUCGAACGGAAAGGCCUCUUUCGGGGGGUACUCGAGUGGCGAACGGGUGAGUAACACGUGAGUAACCUGCCCUUGACUUUGGGAUAACUUCAGGAAACUGGGGCUAAUACCGGAUAGGAGCUCCUGCUGCAUGGUGGGGGUUGGAAAGUUUCGGCGGUUGGGGAUGGACUCGCGGCUUAUCAGCUUGUUGGUGGGGUAGUGGCUUACCAAGGCUUUGACGGGUAGCCGGCCUGAGAGGGUGACCGGCCACAUUGGGACUGAGAUAAGGCACAGACUGCGACGGGAGGCAGAAGUGGGGAAGAUUGCACAAUGGGUGGAAGGCUGAUGCAGCAACGCCGUGUGCGGGAUGACGGCCUUAGGGUUGAAAACCGAUUUCGCUCAUGACGAAGCUUUGUGUGACGGUAGUGGGUAAAGAAGCACCGGCUAACUACGUG
This 467-nucleotide ribosomal RNA is filed under the name uncultured bacterium. RNAcentral describes it as "partial 16S ribosomal RNA". It matches the Rfam family "Bacterial small subunit ribosomal RNA", at positions 28 to 507 of the family's 1533-position model. The record is from RNAcentral.